ACUCGUAGUUGAUGCCAUAUGCACCCGAGGAGCUGACAUGUCUGUGCCAGAUGAGAAGGGGAACCCCCCGCUGUGGCUUGCAUUGGCAAACAAUCUGGAGGACAUCGCAUCCACUCUGGUCAGACAUGGCUGUGAUGCCACAUGCUGGGGUCCAGGACCUGGUGGGUGCCUUCAGACGCUCCUGCAUAGAGCCAUUGAUGAAAACAGCGAGCCCACCGCCUGCUUUCUUAUUCGCAGGUCUGAGCGUCCCCAGUAUCUCUCCACAGCUUUUUAGUGAGCUUGUUGCAAACUGGCUCUUUCCUUUUUAAAUCCGUCUACAGUCUUGGCCAGUAGCCGGCUUGACUUUUACGGUUAAGGUUAUCAGAGAGUCACUGUUCUGUCAUGUUAAGUCAGCCAGGAGCCAGGCUCACUUGUGACGGGAGUUGCUCACAGGCCUGGAUCAAAGAAUCUGAAAGCUUGAG
Molecule: small RNA, 461 nt
Filed under: Pongo abelii (Sumatran orangutan)
Lineage: Eukaryota; Metazoa; Chordata; Mammalia; Primates; Hominidae
Description: retained intron
Source: RNAcentral